Molecule: transfer RNA, 70 nt
Filed under: Sarcophilus harrisii (Tasmanian devil)
Lineage: Eukaryota; Metazoa; Chordata; Mammalia; Dasyuromorphia; Dasyuridae
Rfam family: tRNA
About the family: Transfer RNA (tRNA) molecules are approximately 80 nucleotides in length.
Source: Rfam by way of RNAcentral
GGUAAAAUGGCUGAGUGGAAGCAUUGAACUGUCAGUUCAAAGACAGAGACUAGAUAUCUCUUUUUAAUCA